RNAcentral lists this ribosomal RNA (465 nucleotides) under Vreelandella stevensii. RNAcentral's name for it is "partial 16S ribosomal RNA". It matches the Rfam family "Bacterial small subunit ribosomal RNA", at positions 338 to 795 of the family's 1533-position model. Lineage: Bacteria; Pseudomonadati; Pseudomonadota; Gammaproteobacteria; Oceanospirillales; Halomonadaceae. The record is from RNAcentral.
CCUACGGGUGGCAGCAGUGGGGAAUAUUGGACAAUGGGGGCAACCCUGAUCCAGCCAUGCCGCGUGUGUGAAGAAGGCCCUCGGGUUGUAAAGCACUUUCAGUGAGGAAGAACGCCUGGUGGUUAAUACCCGUCAGGAAAGACAUCACUCACAGAAGAAGCACCGGCUAACUCCGUGCCAGCAGCCGCGGUAAUACGGAGGGUGCGAGCGUUAAUCGCAAUUACUGGGCGUAAAGCGCGCGUAGGUGGCUUGAUAAGCCGGUUGUGAAAGCCCCGGGCUCAACCUGCGAACGGCAUCCGGAACUGUCAAGCUAGAGUGCAGGAGAGGAAGGUAGAAUUCCCGGUGUAGCGGUGAAAUGCGUAGAGAUCGGGAGGAAUACCAGUGGCGAAGGCGGCCUUCUGGACUGACACUGACACUGAGGUGCGAAAGCGUGGGUAGCAAACAGGAUUAGAUACCCUGGUAGUC